Molecule: transfer RNA, 70 nt
Filed under: Loxodonta africana (African savanna elephant)
Lineage: Eukaryota; Metazoa; Chordata; Mammalia; Proboscidea; Elephantidae
Rfam family: tRNA
About the family: Transfer RNA (tRNA) molecules are approximately 80 nucleotides in length. Their secondary structure includes four short double-helical elements and three loops (D, anti-codon, and T loops).
Source: Rfam by way of RNAcentral
GCUUUGGUGGUUCAGUGGUAGAACUCUCACCUUCUAGGCAAGACACCAGGUUUGAUUCCUAGCCAAGGCA